RNAcentral lists this ribosomal RNA (800 nucleotides) under uncultured bacterium. RNAcentral describes it as "bacterial SSU rRNA". It matches the Rfam family "Bacterial small subunit ribosomal RNA", at positions 647 to 1459 of the family's 1533-position model. The record is from RNAcentral.
UAUGGUUGCUGUGAGUAGAAUGUGUGGUGUAGCGGUGAAAUGCAUAGAUAUCACACAGAAUACCGAUUGCGAAGGCAUCUCACAAAGCCAUCAUUGACGCUGAGGCACGAAAGUGUGGGGAUCAAACAGGAUUAGAUACCCUGGUAGUCCACACUGUAAACGAUGAUAACUAGCUGUUGGCGAUACACAGUCAGUGGCCAAGCGAAAGCGAUAAGUUAUCCACCUGGGGAGUACGACCGCAAGGUUGAAACUCAAAGGAAUUGACGGGGGCCCGCACAAGCGGAGGAACAUGUGGUUUAAUUCGAUGAUACGCGAGGAACCUUACCCGGGCUCGAACGGUACAGGAAUAUGGCAGAGAUGUCAUAGCUAGCAAUAGUCUGUAUCGAGGUGCUGCAUGGUUGUCGUCAGCUCGUGCCGUGAGGUGUCGGCUUAAGUGCCAUAACGAGCGCAACCCUUGUCGUUAGUUACCAUCAAGUAAAGUUGGGGACUCUAGCGAGACUGCCACCGUAAGGUGUGAGGAAGGGGGGGAUGACGUCAAAUCAGCACGGCCCUUACGUCCGGGGCGACACACGUGUUACAAUGGUAGGUACAGAGGGCCGCUACCCAGCGAUGGGGGUGCCAAUCUCAAAAACCUAUCUCAGUUCGGAUCGGAGUCUGCAACUCGACUCCGUGAAGUUGGAUUCGCUAGUAAUCGCGCAUCAGCCAUGGCGCGGUGAAUACGUUCCCGGGCCUUGUACACACCGCCCGUCAAGCCAUGGAAGCCGGGGGUGCCUGAAGUUCGUACCGCAAGGAGCGACGUA